AUUGAACGCUGGCGGCAGGCCUAACACAUGCAAGUCGAGCGGAUGAAGGGAGCUUGCUCCUGGAUUCAGCGGCGGACGGGUGAGUAAUGCCUAGGAAUCUGCCUGGUAGUGGGGGAUAACGUCCGGAAACGGGCGCUAAUACCGCAUACGUCCUGAGGGAGAAAGUGGGGGAUCUUCGGACCUCACGCUAUCAGAUGAGCCUAGGUCGUAUUAGCUAGUUGGUGAGGUAAAGGCCUACCAAGGCGACGAUCCGUAACUGGUCUGAGAGGAUGAUCAGUCACACUGGAACUGAGACACGGUCCAGACUCCUACGGGAGGCAGCAGUGGGGAAUAUUGGACAAUGGGCGAAAGCCUGAUCCAGCAAUGCCGCGUGUGUGAAGAAGGUCUUCGGAUUGUAAAGCACUUUAAGUUGGGAGGAAGGGCAGUAAGUUAAUACCUUGCUGUUUUGACGUUACCAAAAGAAUAAGCACCGGCUAACUUCGUG
RNAcentral lists this ribosomal RNA (484 nucleotides) under uncultured bacterium. RNAcentral's name for it is "partial 16S ribosomal RNA". It matches the Rfam family "Bacterial small subunit ribosomal RNA", at positions 30 to 507 of the family's 1533-position model. The record is from RNAcentral.